AUUGAACGCUGGCGGCAGGCCUAACACAUGCAAGUCGAACGGUAACAGGAAGCAGCUUGCUGCUUUGCUGACGAGUGGCGGACGGGUGAGUAAUGUCUGGGAAACUGCCCGAUGGAGGGGGAUAACUACUGGAAACGGUAGCUAAUACCGCAUAACGUCGCAAGACCAAAGAGGGGGACCUUAGGGCCUCUUGCCAUCGUAUGUGCCCAGAUGGGAUUAGCUAGUAGGUGGGGUAACGUCUCACCUAGGCGACGAUCCCUAGCUGGUCUGAGAGGAUGACCAGCCACACUGGAACUGAGACACGGUCCAGACUCCUACGGGAGGCAGCAGUGGGGAAUAUUGCACAAUGGGCGCAAGCCUGAUGCAGCCAUGCGGCGUGUAUGAAGAAGGCCUUCGGGUUGUAAAGUACUUUCAGCGGGGAGGAAGGGAGUAAAGUUAAUACCUUUGCUCAUUGACGUUACCCGCAGAAGAAGCACCGGCUAACUACGUG
This 490-nucleotide ribosomal RNA is filed under the name uncultured bacterium. RNAcentral's name for it is "partial 16S ribosomal RNA". It matches the Rfam family "Bacterial small subunit ribosomal RNA", at positions 30 to 507 of the family's 1533-position model. The record is from RNAcentral.